This 464-nucleotide ribosomal RNA is filed under the name uncultured bacterium. RNAcentral describes it as "partial 16S ribosomal RNA". It matches the Rfam family "Bacterial small subunit ribosomal RNA", at positions 28 to 507 of the family's 1533-position model. The record is from RNAcentral.
GACGAACGCUGGCGGCGUGCCUAACACAUGCAAGUCGAGCGAAUGAAGUUCCUUCGGGAAUGGAUUUAGCGGCGGACGGGUGAGUAACACGUGGGCAACCUGCCUCAUAGAGGGGAAUAGCCUUCCGAAAGGGAGAUUAAUACCGCAUAAGAUUGUAGUAUCGCAUGAUACAGCAAUUAAAGGAGCAAUCCGCUAUGAGAUGGGCCCGCGGCGCAUUAGCUCGUUGGUGAGGUAACGGCUCACCAAGGCGACGAUGCGUAGCCGACCUGAGAGGGUGAUCGGCCACAUUGGGAAUGAGACACGGCCCAGACUCCUACGGGAGGCAGCAGUGGGGAAUAUUGCACAAUGGGGGAAACCCUGAUGCAGCAACGCCGCGUGAGUGAUGACGGCCUUCGGGUUGUAAAGCUCUGUCUUCAGGGACGAUAAUGACGGUACCUGAGGAGGAAGCCACGGCUAACUACGUG